Molecule: ribosomal RNA, 451 nt
Filed under: uncultured bacterium
Lineage: Bacteria
Description: bacterial SSU rRNA
Rfam family: Bacterial small subunit ribosomal RNA
Source: RNAcentral
CGGCGGACGGGUGAGUAACGCGUGGGUAACCUGCCUUACACAGGGGGAUAACACUGGGAAACCAGUGCUAAUACCGCAUAACAUCAUUUUAUGGCAUCAUGAAAUGAUCAAAGGAGAAAUCCGGUGUAAGAUGGGCCCGCGUCCGAUUAGCUAGUUGGUGAGGUAACGGCUCACCAAGGCAGCGAUCGGUAGCCGGACUGAGAGGUUGGCCGGCCACAUUGGGACUGAGACACGGCCCAGACUCCUACGGGAGGCAGCAGUGGGGAAUAUUGCGCAAUGGGGGGAACCCUGACGCAGCGACGCCGCGUGAAGGAAGAAGGCCUUCGGGUUGUAAACUUCUUUGAUUGGGGAAGAAAAAUGACGGUACCCAAAGAACAAGCCACGGCUAACUACGUGCCAGCAGCCGCGGUAAUACGUAGGUGGCGAGCGUUAUCCGGAAUUACUGGGUGUA